GACGAACGCUGGCGGCGUGCUUAACACAUGCAAGUCGAACGGAAAGGCCCUGCUUUUGUGGGGUGCUCGAGUGGCGAACGGGUGAGUAACACGUGAGUAACCUGCCCUUGACUUUGGGAUAACUUCAGGAAACUGGGGCUAAUACCGGAUAGGAGCUCCUGCUGCAUGGUGGGGGUUGGAAAGUUUCGGCGGUUGUGGAUGGACUCGCGGCUUAUCAGCUUGUUGGUGGGGUAGUGGCUUACCAAGGCUUUGACGGGUAGCCGGCCUGAGAGGGUGACCGGCCACAUUGGGACUGAGAUACGGACCAGACUCCUACGGGAGGCAGCAGUGGGGAGUAUGGCGCAAUGGGCGGAAGCCUGAGGCAGCAACGCCGCGUGCGGGAUGACGGCCUUCGGGUUGUAAACCGCUUUCGCCUGUGACGAAGCGUGAGUGACGGUAAUGGGUAAAGAAGCACCGGCUAACUACGUG
This 468-nucleotide ribosomal RNA is filed under the name uncultured bacterium. Its description in RNAcentral is "partial 16S ribosomal RNA". It matches the Rfam family "Bacterial small subunit ribosomal RNA", at positions 28 to 507 of the family's 1533-position model. The record is from RNAcentral.